RNAcentral lists this long non-coding RNA (1026 nucleotides) under Vulpes vulpes (red fox). Its description in RNAcentral is "lncRNA (ENSVVUG00000013684.1)". Lineage: Eukaryota; Metazoa; Chordata; Mammalia; Carnivora; Canidae. The record is from RNAcentral.
GAGAAACUCUGGGUUUCAUUGGGAGAUGGGAAGUCACUGAUCUGUGUUUCUCAAGGCUCAGAGAGGCCAGUGGGGGACAUCAGCCCUGUGAGGAGGGUGCUGUGAAACCCCCUCCCCAGGUGUGGGGAGGAAGCGCAGAGCAAAGAGUGGGGAGGAGCCUCUCUCCUGCCGAGUGCAGUGAGGUGGGGCUGCCAUCAUAUCUCCUGGAGAAAGUGGCUGAGGCUUUGGGAUGAGCCUGGCCUCGCGGAGAAUAAGCAGCUGGUCCAUAUUUGAACCCAGGUCUGCCCCCCUGGGCAGUGCCAUGCUCUGUGCUACACUGCCUGCCUCUUGGGUAGAUGUGGGCGGCCGGCACCUGGGCUUUGCCUCUCUUAUCUACACCGAGGAUCCACUUCUGGGAUCUUGGGGACUGGGAGCAGCACCCUCGCCCUCCGGUCAUCUACAAGCAUCGGGGACCACAGACACCAGAGGGUUAGCCAACAGUCACUGUCCCUCCAGCCCCACAAGACCCCUGCCAUCACCCAGCUCCUCCUCUGGACCCUCUGGGCCUCCCACCAUCCACCAACUGGAAGGGCAGCAUAGGACCCUGGGGCCGCUUCCUGCUCCAGCGCCCUGCUGGUGUCCUUUCCCACGGUCAGAGCUGGGCUCCAGUGAGAGUACUGCCCUCCUCAGACAGAGGGACAGGGCCGAGGGCAGCUCCCGAGGCAGGUGGCGUCACCUCUGCCUUCCCUGCCCAUCAGCAUUUUCUCCUCUCCCUCCUCCCUCCGUCUGGGUACCUCUCUCUCUCCCCUUGCCCUCCACCACCCUCUCUUCCUGCCUCUGCCCUCCUUCGUCUCCUCUGCAGGCAGGCAGGGUUCAGCCAGAGUGUGCAUGGCCCUCCUGGGGAUCAGCCCUCCUGGGUGCAGUCAGCGCUCAUCCCUGCUUGGAGCUUCCAGCCCAGGUCCUCAUCUUCCUGACUCCUCCCUCCCUCAUUCAUUAUUCAUCUGAAGGUUUCUGACUCUGGGCCAGGCUCUGUUUCCAGUACUCGAG